This is a long non-coding RNA of Wyeomyia smithii (pitcher-plant mosquito), 963 nucleotides long. RefSeq lists it as uncharacterized. The transcript has 3 exons. The record is from RefSeq and is a predicted model, not a curated record. NCBI's taxonomy places the organism in Eukaryota, Metazoa, Arthropoda, Insecta, Diptera, Culicidae.
ACAUACAAGAACUGUUUUUCGAAGCUCUGGUAAAGCUACAUCGGAAACUAAGGGAGGCGACGAUAGCUCACAAUCAGCCUGAUUCAAGAUCGAUGGACCACAUCUCAAGAUUCGGUAACAAUGGCGGUUGAACACCGCGCGAAAUUAAGUCUGCGGGAUUCGAUUUGAAAGGAAUGCAACGCCAAAUGUACUCAUCAGUCAGAGAUUGAAUCAACUUCACGCGGCUAGCAACAAAAACCUGUAAUGCUCCCGGAGAUUUCUGUAUCCAGCACAGGACGAUUUGUGAAUCGCUCCAGAGAAUAAUGGAGGAAAACUUCACUUCCAGCGCUUCAACUAUUUUUGCAACUAAGCGGGACAACAUUAAUGCUGCCUGCAACUCCGCUGCCGGUGUUCUUGGCCGUCAUUCAUAAUUGAACGUGCGUAGAGGCAAGCACCGUAUGCCAGAUCAGACGCGUCUGCGAAACCGUGCAGCUCUAAAUUCAAAGGUUUUCCACUCAGUACACAACGUGGUAUCUUGAUGCCUUCAACAUGUUCCAGUUGAUCACGAAACUCUAACCAGAAGCUCGCGAGUGCGUGUGGAAGCACUUCAUCCCAUUUUAAGGGAAGCAUCCAAACUUCCCGCAUCACUAGUUUCGCCGUCGUCAAAACUGGACCUAAAAAGCCGAGUGGAUCAAAAAUCCUCGAAAUUUCGCUAAGCAAAAUUCUUUUAGUUAACUGCGAUGGCUGCGACACCUGCAUCUUGGGCAAAGAAAUCGUAAAGUUGUCGGUCGUUGGCUCCCAAGCGAUUCCCAACGUACCACUUGCAGUACAGCAGAAGAAUUCGAGCACACCUUAUGAACAUCGAAUCCACCACUAUGCAGCAUAUCCCUAACCUGCUGCAAUAGUUCGAUUGCUUCUUCUUCCGAAUCAGCCCCUGAAAGCAUAUCGUCGAUGUAGAAAAAAUUUUUUACUGCCUUUGCCGCC